This 7684-nucleotide long non-coding RNA is filed under the name Trifolium pratense (red clover). RNAcentral's name for it is "long non-coding RNA (TPRA_LNC006096)". Lineage: Eukaryota; Viridiplantae; Streptophyta; Magnoliopsida; Fabales; Fabaceae. The record is from RNAcentral.
CCUUUGUUAAAAUGAAGUCCACUAGCUUGCAUUGAUGCUUCCUCAAACGGUUCCUUUUAAUUAAAAUUUUAAAGUAGCAACAAUAUUACCUAUAAAAGAAAACGAGACAAAAUUUAAGUGGAGAUAAAAUUCAAGAUUAAGAUUGGUCAAAUUGAGAAAAUAUAAGUGGAGAUGAAAAUAUAAGUGAGGAAAAUGUUUCAGGGGAGCGGUGCUCAAAUUGAGAUUCAGAUUGGUCAGGAAUCACCAAAGAGAGUCCUAAUACUCCCUGACUUGAAUUUGGACCUGCGUCAAGAAGAGAUCUAGAAUAAAUGGAAGGGAUCCUGAGUACAAAUGGUGAAUGUGAGUCUAAAAUUUGGUAUUAUGCAUACUUGUGGUUGAACUGUUUCUAUGUGUUUUUUCUCUUUCCAUAGAGAUUUAAAUUAUACUUUAUUUGAGACUUAUGUUUAUUUUGUUGUAUCCAAUAAUUAUAAACUGUUUAUAUUAUUUAUCAGUAGCAUUUUUAUUUUCAACUAAAAAAAUAAUGCGCCAAAACUAUACUUUGUUCGCAUUUAGUGUCCAAUAGUGCCUAAAAAAAUAACGCGCCAAAAACUUAGCUUUAACACUAAUUUCCAUAGGUGAAUGCUGCAACAAAGAGAUUCACCUAUGGGAAUUAGUAAUAUCUCUCUUUAGUGUUCAAGCUAAGUUUGGCGCAUUAUUUUUUAGUAGAAAUAAAAAUGCUACUGAUAAAAAAAAACUACUUUUUUUGCACAAUCUGAUGCUUUUACAUUAUUUAUGCAACACAAACCUAGAAAAUACAACUACAAGUCUACAACAACAAGAACAAGCAAGCAAACCUUAUUGUAAUAACCUAAUUAUGUACUUAAUGAUAAAUCAGAUCGAUUCAUGAUACAAUAAUGAGAUCAACCAAAUUUCAGCACACAAACAAAGUAAUAAAAAAUUGAAACCAAAAUCAAUAUACCUUUGUUUAAAUUGAAGUCCACUAGCUUGCAUUGAUGCUUCGUGAAAUGGUUCCUUUUAAUUAAAAUUUUAAAGUAGCAUGGAUUUUACCUAUGAAAGAAAAAGAACGAAAAUAUAAGUGGAGAUUAAAUUGAAGAUUGAUUAUGAGAAUACAUAGCGUUGAAUAGUGUUUACCGUCAUCAGGUAUGGUGGCUGGUCUAUCACCGGCGGCGAAAAUGGUUGCCAUGGCAGAUUCCGGCGAAAAGUGGAACACAGAAAAGGGGAAAGCAGCUCGGUCGGUGAAAAUGAUUAGUUAUAUGUACAACUUUAGGGUAUAUAUGUACAACUUUAUGGUAUAUUUGGUUCGGGGGUUUUGGAGGGAAGGAAAGGUAAUAUUUUAAAUUUUGUGUGUUUGGUUCAAUCUUUUAGAGGGUAAAAAAGAAAGGGUGAUGCUAACGGUGUCUCUGGGGCACUUAUUAAGCAUACCAAAAAAAGAAAUAAAAGAUGUAUGUUAUUCAAAAACAAAUUUAAGACACAAAAUUGACACAUAUGUGGAUUUAAAAUACAUCCGCUUCCUUCCUAUUUUGUUUUUUGUUUUUUUUUAAAAANNNNNNNNNAGAGUUUUUUUUGCUCUGUAUGGACUUAGCCCACCGAAAUUGGCACCAGUGGGAAUCGAACCUGAGACCUUGAGAGGAGCAUACUCCAAGGGCCCAAGCCAACACCACUCGACCAACCCCAAGUGGGUUCCCUUCCUUUUUUGUUGUUGUUGUUGUUGUUGUUGUUGUUGUUGUUGUUGUUAUUGUCGUCGGUGACAAAUACAAAUGUGGGUUUUAAUAGUUAUUAUCUUAUAAAAAAAGAAAUUCUUUUCAAUUUAAAAAAUAUUCAAUACACUUUUAUUUUAUUUUUCGCAUAAAUCGGAUAUCUCUGCGCACAACUACAUACUCUAAUCCUCCCUCAAACCUUAUGUAAUUAAUUUAACAUUGUAAAUUCAAAACAUUUUUAGUCCCGUUUGAUUUAGAUUCUCUAAAAAUUAUUUUGUUUAAAAAAAGAAGUUAGAAUUUGCUUCCGGUGAUUUGAGUGGCUUGUAUUUGUGUUAUUUGGAAGAAGCUAAAAUUUGUUUCAUGAAUAGGUGAUUUGAAGGUUCAUCUCACCUGGAUUGAAUUGUGAUGACGUCUACUUUAAUUUAUGUGUCAAGUGUCACAUUUGUCUUAAAUUAUGGUGCAUCACACACACUCUGUGUUUGUCUCAAAUUUUUCCUAGAUAUGUUCAUGAAUAAGACGGUACAAAGUAUUAUGAGAUGUCUAAUCUUCAAAUAUUUUUUCUCAAUAUAUACUUACCCUAAGAAAGAUAUAUAUCCAGAAUUGAUAUCGUAUCUAACAAGAAUGGAAAAGAAUUUAAUUUAUAUGCACCGUCAGUCUAAAGUUAUUUUGCACAUGCGUCCAAUAAUAUACCGACACAUCAUGUAUGGUAAUUAAAAACACAUGAUGUGUCACAUUCAUUAAAUGAUUUGGCAACACGUCAUUAGAUGUAUGUGUAAAAAAUAUUUACAUCGACGGUGCACAACAAUUAAACUCAAUGGAAAAAUACGUACCAGAAGAGUGAGUCAUCAGACAACACGUUUAGACUCAAGUAGUCUAUCUUCUCCGACUAGGAUCGUGUUUCUAGCAGUGAGCUAUUCGCUAAAAGUUGAAAUUGGUCUGAAAUUGCAAACCCUAAGGCAAUUGGAAAAGGUAUUGGUAGGCUAGUGUAUUUAUAUUGAACUGAAUGGCCUUAAUAACAAAAUUAUUUACUGCUUCAUUAGUUGUUUUGUUGAUUAAUUUACAAAUUUUAAGAUUUGUUCCAAUAUUGAUCUAGUCUUUAUGACCUAUUUGAUUUUGAAGUUUUCUAGCUUAUAAAUCAUUACAGUGGAUGUCUUAUAUUUGUAUUUGGCCCUAUGUUAUUCUUAUAAUUUCUUCUUUCUGGACCAUUUCUUUCUCAUUUGAUAAUUUUUUUUUUAUUUCACGAGUUCAGUCAGUCAUCAAACCCAGUAACACCUGAUUCCAACUAGUGACUCUAGUGUUAAUAAACAAGAAAUACAAAUAAAAAUGGCAGUAUAGUAAUUUAGUGUUGAGGGGGUAUUUAAGAACAAACCACUCACUUUUCCNNNNNNNNNNNNNNNNNNNNNNNNNNNNNNNNNNNNNNNNNNNNNNNNNNNNNNNNNNNNNNNNNNNNNNNNNNNNNNNNNNNNNNNNNNNNNNNNNNNNNNNNNNNNNNNNNNNNNNNNNNNNNNNNNNNNNNNNNNNNNNNNNNNNNNNNNNNNNNNNNNACUUAUUUGAGUAACCUAGGCAACUACAAUCGAAUCACCAUUCAAAUUUAUUGAAUAACCUAAACAAUUUUAGCAUCUGCAAUCUAAAUGCAAAUGAUUCAAAUAUCGAAAGAAUAAAAGUAGUAUUGGCUCUACCUGCAAGAAAUGCGUCAGGAAAUAAUGGUUGCGGUAGAGGAAGGGGUAUAAUGCAAUAAAUUUGAAUGUUGAUUCGAUUCUAGUUGCCUAGGUUAUUAAAAUAAGUAGCUCGAGAAGCCUUAUGGGGCACAGUUUGGUUAAAAACAUUCAACACUUAUUGAGUUUGAAUUGGGAUGUUUCCGUGUCUCAUGCAUGCUUACCGACAGUCAAAUUGAUGAGUGAAUGCGCUGACAAAUUAGGGUUGCUUUUUUUUCCUCCAAACCAACAAAGGCACUUAACGCUAGCUGUUGUUAUGAUCUAUUUCUUCAAUUGCAUGCAAGAUUGAUGCUGAGUUAUAUGGAAUGUGAUAUGGGUUUGGGGUGAUGGUGGUGGAACAAAAGAGAGAGGUGAGAGAGUCUGAUUUAGUUUUCAGGAAAUGGUUAUGGAGAAUGAAGGGAAAAGUGAGUGGUUUGUUCUUAAAUACCCCCUCAACACUAAAUUACUAUACUGCCAUUUUUAUUUGUAUUUUUUGUUUAUUAACACUAGAGUCACUAGUUGGAAUCAGGUGUUACUGGGUUUGGAUGACUGACUGAACUCGUGAAAUAAAAAAAUGAUCAAAUGAGAAAGAAAUGGUCCAGAAAGAAGAAAUUAUAAGGAAAACAUAGGGCCGAAUACAAAUAUAAGACAUCCACUUUAAUGAUUUAUAAGUCAGAAAACUUCAAAAUCAAAUAGGUCACAAAGGCUAGAUCAAUAUUGACACAAAUCUUAAAAUUUGUAAAUUAAUCGACAAAACAACUAAUGAAGCCAUAAAUAAUUUUGUUAUUAAGGCCAUUCAGUUCAAUAUAAAUACACUAGCCUACCAUUACCUUUUCCAAUUGCCUUAGGGUUUGCAAUUUCAGACCAAUUUCAACUUUUAGCGAAUAGCUCACUGCUAGAAACACGAACCUAGUCAGAGAAGAUAGACUACUUGAGUCUAAACGUGUUGUGUGAUGAUUCACUCUUCUGGUAUGUAUUUUUCCAUUCUUGUUAGAUACGAUAUCAAUUCUUUCAUUAAACUAUUCACUGCAUAUUUUCAAAAGGAUUUUCCAACUGUAGCAUUAUUAUUAUUAGGAGUAAUUAAUAUAUUAAAGGUUCAUUUCUCUUUCACUUACUAACAUUUUAUUUUUUGUAUUUCACACAGUUUUUUUAUUGAUAUUGUUGCGGUUGCGAUUCUAGAAACUUCGAUCUCUUCGUCAUGACUACUGCUUCUAUUGGAAAUUCAUUCAUCACCGUCAAUCCUCCUGAGCUCUGUUUCCAAUGUAUGUAAUCUUAUCUUACUUUUUUUUAAGAGGAUUUUUUAUAAUCCAGUUGAAUCGAAUGUAACACUUUUUUUUCUAUGAUCACUGACUCAUUGUGGUUUCUUAUCAAUCCAAUCUCGUUGAAUUAAUCACCGCCGUUUAAUAGUGACGAAAAACCUGUGGAGCAUACAAAGUGGAUUCUUCCCUCUUAACAAAAUUUUCUGGAGUCAGGAUCGAACCUCUGACCAUCUAUUUAAGAGGUCUAAGACCCUUACUACUCGGACCAAUUCAUUGUUGGUCGGUAGAANNNNNNNNNNNNNNNNNUAUAUGCCUUCUCUUUGAUUAGUUUGAAGGUUUGUUCUUUUACCACUUGAGAAUUGGUUUAGUUUUCUGUAGUUAUUAGUUUCAUCACUUGUUCUUAACUGUGAAUUUUGUUUAGAUAUAUAAGAUGUUUUGUGAAGUUUGAAAGCAAUGCUUAUAAAACUUUGUUAGUAUCAGUAAGCUGUGUGUAGCGGUAAUCCAAAUUCAUUUUCAUUAUGUUUUCCUUAUUAGUCUUGUGAGUUCUUAUACUGCUAAUGUUCAUGUUACCAGUUGAGCUAGAGCAGCAAACAUUUUGCGAUCUUAAAGUUUCGAAUAAGACAGAAUACUUNNNNNNNNNNNNNNNNNNNNNNNNNNNNNAUUGCUAUUGUAUGAUCCAAACUUUCAGGGACAACACCAAAGAAGAUUGCCUAUAAUCUUAUGGACAGCAGCCAAAGAACAUGCUAUGAAGAUUUAAGUGGUUCUGAAAUUGACUUGUACGUGAGUUUUUACAAUGAAAGAGCAAAUGAUAAUAAAUUGGUAGACUCAACACAUAUUUGCAUAACUCAAAAGCAGAUUCAACUAUUGACAACAGAAUUGUUGUAUUAGCUUUAGAAGCAAUGAAGACGGCUGACAACACAACUUCGGUAGCUCAAAGAGCAAUGAAGAAUGAAAAUGGCGGAACCUAAUACAAAUAUGAUGAAGACUGAAAUGGUGGAACCUAAUACAGAUCUACCGAAGACUGAAAUGGUGGAACCUGAUACAAUUGUAAAUGCAACAAGAACAAAAACAAGUAACAUAUCCAGUGGAAACUCAACAACAGUUGAGGAAAAUGUUCAGGGGAGAGUGGUGCUCAAAGUGAGAUUCAAAUUGGCCAAGAAUCACCAAAGAGAGUCCCAAUGCUUCCGGACUUGAAUUUGGAGCCGCGUCAGGAAGACAUGUAAAAGAAAUGGAAGGGGUCCUUAGUAUAAAUGGUGAAUUUGUGUUUGGAAGGGAUCCUUGGUACUAUGUAGAGUAGUGGCUGAACAGUUUCUAUGUGUUUUUCUCUUUCCGUGGAGAUUUAUGUUGUUGUUUCAAAAACAAACUUCUUAGGUUGUUAAAUUAUACUUUGUUUGAGACUCGUGCUUAUUUGCUAAAUCUAAUAAUUAUGAAUUAUUUAUAUUAUUCAUCAGUGGCAUUUUUUUUUAAGUAUGAACACAGUUUUGUCUUUGUAAAUUUGGCUUCUUGUCAUAUAGGUUGCUUCUGUUCAUACCCUUGUUUGGCUGCAUCAACUUUAGAAUUUUAUUACAUUGAAUUGUGUGUUUGUUUCAUGAAAAAGAGCAAAGAACAUUUACACGACAAAUAUAUCUCAUCAUAGGAGUUGUUUUUUCUUUCCCAAAGGAAGAUUGAAAUCAUGACAAAUCCUUCAUUCAAGUAAUGAUAGUGCACAAUAGCAAGCAAACUAAACAUUAACAAUACAAUCAAUACAAUACAGCAUCAUUAAGAUCAAAGUAAUAGAAAAUUGAAACAAAAAACCAUGUACCUUUCUUAAAAUUGAAGUCCACUAGCUUGCAUUGAUGCUUCCUAAAACGGUUCCUUUUAAUUAAAAUUUUAAAGUAGUAACAAAUAUUACCUAUAAAAGAAAAUGAGAGAAAAUAUAAGUGGAGAUGAAAUUCAAGAAUAAGAUUGGUCAAAUUGAGAAAAUAUAAGUGAAGAUGAAAAUAUAAGUGAGGAAAAUGUUGCUGGGGAGUGGUGCUCAAUUGAGAUUUAGAUUGGUCAGGAAUCACCAAAGAGAGUCCCAAUACUCCCUGACUUGAAUUUGGAGCCGCGUCAGAAAACAUCUAGAAUAAAUGGAAGGGAUGCUUAGGACAAAUGGUGAAUGUGNNNNNNNNNNNNNNNUGGUUGAAGUGUUUCUAUGUGUUUUUCUCUUUCCGUGUAGAGAUUUAAAAAAUUACGCGCCAAAAUUUGGUACUAUGUGUUUUUCUCUUUCCGUAGAGAUUUAAAAUAGCGCGCCAUAAUUAUAUUGUGUCCAAUAGUGCUAAAAAAAUUACACGCCAAAAAUGUAGCUUGAACACUAAAUAGAAAUUACUAAUUUCCAUAGGUGAAUGCUGCAACAAAGAGCAUCAAUGUGAUUUGAUCGAUGCAACGAAGGCACAAUCUGCUGCCUUUACAGUAUUUGUGCAACACAAACCUAGAAAAUACAACUACAACAACAAGAACAUACCUAGAAAAUACAACAACAACAACAACAACAAGCAAGCAAACCUUAUUGUAAUAACCUAACUAUGAGAUCAACCAAAUUUCAGCACACAAACAAAUCAAAUUUCAAGCUUAUAUUCAGUCAAUACAAUACAACAUCAUUAAAAUUAAAGUAACAGAAAAUUGAAACCAAAGUCCAAAUUCAAUGUACCUUUGUUAAAAUUGAAGUCUACUAGCUUGCAUUGAUGCUUCCUCAAGUUGUUCCUUUUAAUUAGAUCCAUAAUUAAAAUUUAAGUAGUAUCAAUUUUACCUAUGAAAGAAAAAGAACGAAAAUAUAUAAGUGGAGUUGAAAUUCAAGAUUGAUGAUGAUGAUGAUGAUAAUGAUAAGAAUACAUAGCGUUGAUUGGUGUUUACCGUCAGGUCUGGUGGCUAGUCUAUCACCAGCGGCGAAAAAUGGCUUUCAUGGCAGAUCCAGCGCCGAGAAGAGGGGGGACCAAGCUUAAACCCUCAACAAUUGUUGUGCACCGUAGGUGUAAUUUUUUUUUAAAAAAAGUGGGAUACAAAAAGGGGAUCAAGC